AUACGAUCAACAUUAGGGGGCCUGGUGGUGGCGCACCUGGUUAAUCACACAUAUUGCCAUGUUCAAGGACUCGGGUUAGAGCACCCCCCCCACUCUCCACCUGCAGGGGAGAAGUUCCAUUUGCAGUGAAAUAGUUCUAUUUGCAGAAAAGAAAACAUCUGAGUGGCAUUGUGGAAAAGCUAAGAGCACUGCUCAGCUCUGGUUUAUGGUUGCCGGGAGCCAGCCCCAGCGAAAGUAA
Erinaceus europaeus (western European hedgehog) is the source of this 238-nucleotide long non-coding RNA. RefSeq lists it as uncharacterized. The transcript is spliced from 3 exons. NCBI's taxonomy places the organism in Eukaryota, Metazoa, Chordata, Mammalia, Eulipotyphla, Erinaceidae. The record is from RefSeq and is a predicted model, not a curated record.